AGGCAUCAAAAUCAUCGGGCGAGCAAAAAACAAAAGGAUCAUUUGGAGAAACCUCUAAAACUAAAGUCAUCUUUACGCCCGGUAAUGAAGUUUUGAUUGGUUUCAGAUCCAGCCAGGACAUGGUCAUCACGUGGUAAUUAAACAAAUAAAAAUCGUAAUUUGUUGGAAUAGCCCGAUUGUCCAGGCUUAUUUCCAUAUAGUCGAGUGAGUAUUUCUGAGAGCCUAAAAGACAUUGAAAAACCAUUCUGCCGGAUUCAAAGAUACUGUCCUGGGCUUCGACACAAUUAAUAAAAAGCCCACUUAGUUUUUGUGAGUUCAUAUAUUCUUUAAACUGACUUUUUUAGUACGAGUGUCGCAAAAGUAUAAUUUACUCCCUCAUACCAAAAAUCUGGAUUUGGGCAAUCCCAUUGAGGC
Molecule: unclassified non-coding RNA, 414 nt
Filed under: plant metagenome
Description: partial contains 5.8S ribosomal RNA, internal transcribed spacer 2, and large subunit ribosomal RNA
Source: RNAcentral